This is an RNA transcript of Cercocebus atys (sooty mangabey), 8350 nucleotides long. It is a transcript of the gene named Janus kinase and microtubule interacting protein 3, with no coding region annotated. NCBI's taxonomy places the organism in Eukaryota, Metazoa, Chordata, Mammalia, Primates, Cercopithecidae. The transcript has 24 exons. The record is from RefSeq and is a predicted model, not a curated record.
CUGAGAUCCUAUCACCUAGAGAUACGGCCACUUUAGAGCUUGGUAUCGACACUUUCGGGCUUUAUUUUUUUCGAGUGCAACACACAGAGGCAUGCAUUUUUAAAAACAAAUGUGAUCAUACUAGACACGCGUUUUUAUAGCUGGCUUUAAAAAACUUAACACGUUGUUUACAUCUUUCUGUUAAGCUUGGACUGGGGACAUUUUUAAAUGGCCCCAUUGUAUUUGGAUGUAUGUGCGUUUCCCAUCGCUUGUUAAAUCGCUUCUCUGUUGUUGGACGUCUAGGACGUUUCCAAUUAUUCACUGUUAUAUUAUGGACAACAUUGCCAUGAUCAUCCCUGAGUUAUAUUUAAAGUCUUCCAACAGUGCCUGGCACGGGGUAGGUGCUAUAAAGUAUUUGGACUAAAGUCAAAUCUGUGCACACACCAUCCUUGUGUUGUUUCUGCGGGAUCGAUUCCAGCAGGAGGACAGCUGGGCUGAGGGGGCACUGCCUGUGUUGGGAAGGUUGUCCCCGUGGCCUGCCUGGGCUGAGGAGGAACCACCCACAGGGAUGGGCACGGGCCCCAAGCCACAGGCGUGGGAACCCUCUUUGCUUUGGGGCGACAUGGGAGGGGUUUGGAUCUCGGACCCACCGUCCUGGGUCUGAAUCCAGCUCCGGGACCUGACAGGGAUAUGUGAUUGUGAGGCAGCUGCAUGGCCUCCCGGCUCCAGCCUCCUCCCCUGUGACAGAGGCAGCGAUGGUUUGUAACCAGGGACAGUGGGCAGCUCUGUCACACGAGUCAGGACGCGUGACCCUCGGAGGGUUGUUGCACCCUGGACGUUUGGCCAGACGUAUGGCCAUGCUUGUAAUCAGGACAAUUUUGUUGCUUGUUCUAACUUACGAGGGUGGCCAGAUCUAGACAGACAGCAGAUACAACCGGAAGUCCUGGCCUGCCCCGUGUCAUCCUCUGACAUGCUGUCAUCGGCGUUCACUCUGGGCUCCUCUCGGGGUGGUGCCGGCCAGUCUCAGCUUUGGGGUGAAGUGACAUUUGGCCUUGACUAGAAGAGGUGGGUUGAGAGGGCAGGCAGGGUGCAGGCGAGGGGACUGAGGCAGAGUGGGCUGGGAACAAAGGGGAUGUAGGGUCCUCCCAGGCUGACCACCAGAACCUGGGCAUGCUCUGGGGUCCAGGCUCCGAUGCAGCCUCAGCGUAGGCCCUGGUGGCUGGAGACAGGGCAGGGCAGGAGCUUCAGGCCACCCGCACCAGCAGCCCUCAGGGCUCCUUUGAUGGAAUCGGACCCACACGGACUCCAAAAGCCCUCCUGCGUGGAAACCCUGUCGGACCCUGCGUUUCCUACGGAGCAGCUUCAGUUACACGGCUUUUCCAGAGGGUGGUUAGGGACUGCAUCUGGGACUGAUGGGCCAGGAGAGCUCAUGUGCUUGUCCUUCACACAGGAAUGCUGCUGGUCUCGUGUGUCUGGUUCCCGUCUGCAUUUUCAUUCCUCCCAGUUGAGUGGGUGCGAAUCCCUCCUAUCACCUGACAUUUAAAAUAGAUACCCUCAGAGUGGAAAUUCGUUCCCAUUGUUGACCCGCUCGCUCUGCAAUCCUGAAGGGGGUUCUCCAAGCAGGAGGGAAAGCCGGCCAGAACCGGGUCCUGGAGCAGCCAGGAAGCCAAGGGAGCAGCGCGGGCGGGGGUGGCCCAGCCGUGGCCUCUGCCGCUCGCUGAUUUUCACCUGAGACUGCCGCCGGGCCAACCCGGAGCCCAGGCCACCUCUGCAUCUGAAUAGAACCAAGCUGCUGCCAGGAUCUCACCUGCGUGGCUGUGCCUUUGGCCAGCCGUGCAGAGCUGCAGGCCCCUUCCCCACCAAGAAGCCUGAAGCGUCUGUUUGCGCCCUGCAGGGAGCUGGGCUGGGGGCUCAGAGGGUGCCUCUGUGCUUGGCCUUAACUGUGCACAGGGAGCGCUUGGGCGAUCUGGCUCACGGGCUCUGCUCGGAAACAGCUCGGGGAAAUGGUUCCUCCCCCUGGAUGUAGUCACAGCAUGGUAAAUUCCAUCUGAAAAAUAAAAGCCGAGCUCUUUGCUGAGUCAUAGAAGCUUGGAGCUGAUUUGCGCAAAAGCCGGACUGAGUCUUGGACGAGCUGGGAAAGAUUCUCACAGUCGAGCGAUGGGAGAGAGGAGCCGACAGGGAGCUUUGGAAUGUGAAUGAGAAGAUGUAGCACAGCGGCAGCCCGGGUGACACCUGCUGGGAGCUUGGCGUGGACACCCCAGCCACCCCCAGCCCAGCCCAGCCAGAGCACCCUGCCCCUGGGCAUCCCCCUGGUCAUCCAGCCUCACCAUGUCCAAGAGAGGCAUGGGCAGCCGGGCCAAGGGGGACAAGGCGGAGGCCCUCGCGGCGCUGCAGGCGGCCAACGAGGAGCUUCGAGCCAAGCUCACAGACAUCCAGAUCGAGCUGCAGCAGGAGAAGAGCAAGGUCAGCAAAGUGGAACGUGAGAAAAACCAGGAGCUGCGGCAGGUGCGCGAGCAUGAGCAGCACAAGACUGCGGUCUUGCUCACGGAGCUCAAGACGAAGCUGCACGAGGAGAAGAUGAAGGAGCUACAGGCCGUGCGUGAGACGCUGCUGCGGCAGCAUGAGGCCGAGCUGCUCAGGGUCAUCAAGAUCAAGGACAACGAGAACCAGCGGCUGCAGGCGCUGCUCAGUGCCCUGCGUGAUGGUGGCCCUGACAAGGUCAAGACCGUGCUGCUGUCCGAGGCCAAGGAGGAGGCCAAGAAGGGGUUCGAGGUGGAGAAGGUCAAGAUGCAGCAGGAGAUCACCGAGCUCAAGGGCGCCAAGAGGCAGGUGGAGGAGGCGCUGACGCUGGUGAUUCAGGCGGACAAGAUCAAGGCCGCGGAGAUCCGCAGUGUGUACCACCUACACCAGGAGGAGAUCACCCGCAUCAAGAAGGAGUGUGAGCGGGAGAUCCGCAGGCUGAUGGAGGAGAUAAAAUUUAAAGACAGAGCAGUCUUCGUGCUGGAGAGAGAGUUAGGGGUUCAAGCCGGGCAUGCUCAGAGACUGCAGCUCCAAAAAGAGGCUCUAGAUGAGCAGCUGUCCCAGGUCCGAGAGGCCGACCGGCACCCGGGCAGCCCCAGACGGGAACUUCCUCAUGCAGCCGGUGCAGGAGACGCUUCAGACCACUCGGGAAGCCCUGAACAGCAGUUGGAUGAAAAAGAUGCCCGGCGCUUCCAGCUUAAAAUUGCAGAGUUAAGUGCGAUUAUCCGCAAACUGGAGGACCGCAACGCCUUGCUGUCGGAAGAGAGGAAUGAGCUGUUAAAGCGUGUAAGAGAAGCCGAGAGUCAGUACAAGCCACUGCUGGAUAAAAACAAGCGCCUCAGUCGGAAGAAUGAGGAUUUGUCUCACGCUUUACGCCGAAUGGAAAACAAGUUAAAAUUCGUCACCCAGGAGAACAUAGAAAUGAGACAGAGAGCCGGAAUCAUAAGGAGACCCAGUUCCUUGAAUGACCUUGAUCAAAGUCAGGAUGAGAGAGAAGUCGAUUUCUUGAAGCUUCAGAUUGUGGAGCAGCAAAACCUCAUAGAUGAACUAUCUAAGACCCUUGAGACCGCCGGCUAUGUGAAGAGCGUGUUAGAGCGGGACAAGCUGUUAAGAUUCCGGAAGCAAAGAAAGAAAAUGGCAAAACUUCCCAAGCCGGUUGUUGUGGAGACCUUCUUUGGAUACGAUGAAGAGGCCUCCCUGGAAUCCGACGGUUCCUCCAUCUCUUACCAAACAGACAGGACGGACCAGACCCCGUGCACCCCGGAUGACGACUUGGAGGAGGGUAUGGCCAAGGAGGAGACGGAGCUGAGGUUCCGGCAGCUGACCAUGGAGUACCAGGCCCUGCAGCGUGCCUACGCCUUGUUGCAGGAGCAGGUCGGAGGGACGCUGGAUGCAGAGCGAGAAGUUAAGACCCGUGAGCAGCUACAAGCCGAAGUGCAGAGGGCACAGGCACGGAUCGAGGACCUGGAGAAGGCCCUGGCAGAGCAGGGGCAGGAUAUGAAGUGGAUUGAAGAAAAGCAGGCGCUGUACCGGAGAAAUCAAGAGCUUGUGGAAAAGAUCAAACAAAUGGAGACGGAAGAGGCUCGGCUUAGACACGAGGUGCAGGAUGCCAGAGACCAAAACGAGCUGCUGGAGUUCAGGAUCCUGGAGCUUGAGGAGAGGGAGAGGAAGUCACCCGCCAUCAACUUCCACCACACGCCCUUCGUGGAUGGGAAGAGCCCCCUCCAGGUGUACUGCGAGGCCGAAGGCGUGACUGACAUUGUGGUCGCGGAGCUGAUGAAGAAGCUGGACAUCCUGGGCGAUAACGCCGUAAGUAACCUGACCAAUGAGGAGCAGGUGGUUGUCAUACAAGCCAGGACAGUCCUGACCUUGGCCGAAAAGUGGCUCCAGCAGAUUGAGGAGACAGAGGCGGCACUGCAGCGGAAGAUGGUGGAUCUGGAGAGUGAGAAGGAGCUGUUCAGUAAGCAGAAGGGCUACCUGGACGAGGAGCUGGACUACCGGAAACAGGCCUUGGACCAGGCCCACAAGCACAUCCUGGAGCUGGAAGCCAUGCUGUAUGACGCCCUGCAGCAGGAGGCCGGGGCCAAGGUGGCUGAACUGCUGUCGGAGGAGGAGCGCGAGAAGCUCAGGGUGGCCGUGGAGCAGUGGAAACGCCAGGUUAUGAGUGAGCUGCGCGAGCGGGAUGCCCAGAUCCUGCGGGAGCGCAUGGAGCUGCUGCAGCUGGCUCAGCAGAGAAUUAAAGAGUUAGAAGAAAGAAUAGAAGCUCAGAAGAGACAAAUAAAAGAACUGGAGGAAAAGCUUUCAUUCUCUGGUCAUAGUCCAUCUUGGCACCCUAACGUGCCCCACGUUGAAUCGGACCCUUUUCCUCCAGUGGGACCUGAGAGCAGGGACAAAACGGGACGUCGCGUCUCCAUCCUGAAGACCCAGGGGGUCUUGGUCUCUGCACGCCCGUCCCGUGGAGGAAGAGUGAGAAGGGGCAGCAUGUGCAGCGCAAGCUGCCGUCCGCGUGGGAUGCGCCAGGACUAGAACUGGCUCUGCCGACUCUCGGGGGCUUCUCUGGGAGAGGCCCGGCCUUGGCUGCUGGACCCUGGUCCCUCCUCCUGGACGGCAGUCCUCAUCCCAGUUCCAGGGAUGUGCAGCAUUCCCUGCCAAGCAGGGGUGAGAACUGCUUCUGUGUGAAGCACCAGCCUCGGGUCCUCUCCUCUCUCUUGGUCCUCACAGUAGUUGCCACCAGUGUCUGGAGGAAGAUUUUCAGAAACGACAGAGGCAUGGCCCAGUGACAAGAUGAAGGCUGUGACUGAGCCGCCUGGAUGGUGACCUUCAUUCAAGGAGGCUCCCUGGAUGGUCCUGGGAGGGCUCCCCAACACCUCAGUGGCCCCUCCAAUGCUGCAAUGUGUUUCUGGGGUCCUGAACACCUGCUGGCCAACAGACCCCACACCCACCCUCCUUCAUUGUCAUCUCUGUGGGGACAGACAAGAGCCGUGGCCGCCAUGGGCCAUGGGGUGCCCUCAACCCUCUGCCUUCCUACCCAGCCUGAGACAGGAAGGCCGCCAGCUGGGAGCACCACGGGACUGAUCCAAGGAAGGCGUGGGGAGUGUGGUGACAGGAGAUGGGACGAGGGGGCAGAGCCAGCUGGAACAUGGAUGCCAGAGGCUGCCUCCGUAGUGCAUCUCCAGAAGUCACAGAGGCCCUGAGCGCCCAGAGCCACCUGAGCCACCUGAGCCACCUGGCCUGGAAGCCCCUGCGCAGGCCAGACCUGCAGGCCAUGGACCCCAGCAGGAACCGAAGCCUCACCCCAAGCCUUCAUACACAAGGAGCAGCCCAGGUGAGGGACGGCGGAUGCACCUGUGGCUCUACUGGUGCAAGAAGGGAACCGUCGUCCAAGAAGCUGACAGAGAGGAAGCAGUGCAUUGGUGAAGGCAACGUUAGGUGUGAUUUCCAUUCCUGCUGGGAGACCCAGGUCACAGCCCGGGAGCUUCGUCCAGCCUGUGGAUGGAGCCUGACUGCCUGCAGAUGGAACUUCUGUGUCCUCCCACCCUUGGUGGUCUAAGGUUAUUGCUCUCAGAGCUGAAUUGACAGGAGGUGUGUGUGUGCACGCUCACUUGUGUGCACAUGCCUGCGUUUAUGCGUGUUUUCACUCAACCAGAAGAGCAAUUCAUGGGAUUUAGCCGUUUUGAGGCACCUAGAAGUUGAGGCAGUUAGAUGUGCAGCCAGGUGUGAAUGUAACGUGCACCAUUGUAUAAAGGAGGUGACUCGGUUGCUGCAGGGAGGAUUGGGUUGUCUGGAAGUAUUAGGUUCAUUUUAUAUUUGUGUCAGAAGAAAUGUCUGACUUUGGGGCAGAUGACAUAGUGGCCGCGGCCCAGGCAUGGUUCCCUAGGUUGAAAUCAGGGAAAAGCUAAUACUAUCAGACAGGUAUGCGUUUUCUUUGGUGGCUGCAGGGUUUCUGCUGGAAAAUGCACUAUUAAUCAGCACUUGUCCAAGAAAGACCCAUCCGUUUCUGUUGUCAUUCAAGCCACAGUUCCUGAUUUACUCAGACAAGAUACUGGGCCAGUUCAAUGUCUCUAGCUGAGCCUGACCUUGGGGUUUGCGUCUCAAGUCUGAAAUCUUGUUCAGUCCUCUGUGCAUAGUUUUGUCUCAUUUUAAUGACUGCAUCUUCUUGGUACAUUUAUUAUACUCAGAACUGAAUGGCACACAAUAGCCUUGUGUUAAUAAAAGCUACCGUAGCACUAUGGGUGAACCGCUGAGUUGAAGUCCGAUGGACUCUACGAUGCAGGUAUCCAGAAAUACGUUGUAACUCUACCUGCCUCCCUGCCAGCCUGGCUCCUCCUCUGGGGGAGCUCCUGGCGUGGUCCUAGUGUUGUCCUGCAUGGGAACAACAGCUGCAUGGGCCAGCUGUUUUGGAUCUAAAGAUGUGCAGUGAAACUCAGAUUCACAUCCCUCAUGUUUAUUUGGGUCAUCAUGGUUUUGCAUGUUGUAUAUAUGUCUGGUGCACUUCAUACACCUCUAUCCACCACAGGCACUCUUAAUCACAGUCUGUAAUAGUAAUAAGGCAAACUAUACAGCAAAGAGAAGCAUGUAAAUAUGUACCAAUUCUUAUGAAGUUGUAAUUGUUUAUAUGUAAAAAGUAUGUAUAUACGAAAGGGAGAAGGUACAAGGAACGUGCUGAAUAACAUCCAAACUGCAUUGCAUCCCUGUCCCAUUCCUGAAAGCUCACAUCUAGUUGGAGCGUCAGUUCCUCUCCUCAGAUAUCAUUGUUCUCACUCUUCUAUCAUAGGCACCUUCUUUACAUCUGAUUACAAUAUCCAGCAUUUCAGAACUGGGUUUUUGCCCCCAAAAAGGUAAAUAUGAACAUUUAUCACUGACUCCUCCUGGUCCAGUGAGCAGCAGCAGAAUUCAAGUAUUUAAAAAUAAGGUGCAUUUCUAAAUUGUAGGCUAUACCUUCUUUUUCCAAACCAAUGGGCUAGAGUGAAUUUCCUCUGAGUACUUGGGCUGUCUUACUGCUAGCUUUUCUAACAGGGGAAGUCUGUAUAAAUGCAUCAUCCGCUAAUAACGCAAGAGGAAGGACCCUGAAAUGUGGCCAGAAAUGCUUACUGUGUAACCAGGACAUCAACAUUUACAUCAUAUUGUAUUAACAUCAUCACACUCUGUGCUCAACACACAGAACAACAUAGAUACUUCAGUUUGUCUAAAGUAAAAAUCCACGUAAAUCGCAGAUUUCUUUGUUGACACCAGUGUGUUGUUUACCUUGUGCCCACGGUCCAGAUUUUGAGCUGGAGAAGGACUAUGGCUGUUCCUUAAAGUCUCUGCCCUGGCAGAAUCUGUAGCCUUCAGGAUACCCCGAGUGCCUUACAGGGCUUGUGAACACCGACAGUAGAAGUCAAAAAGAAGAGAGUGCCCAAGCGUGGGUUUGGAGGCACUGAUGCAUUCGCCAACACUCACUGUCAUCCCAAAACCCUGAGAGGGAGUAUGUGUUUUAACACAGAGUGGAAUUUAAGUUUAGGCUCAGGAAACUCAUAUUCUGAAUAUAGGUAUCAAAUCAUAUAUUUGUUUACUGUAUAUUUUUUAAAAAGCUUUAUUGUAAAUUUAUGCAAAAACUAACCGGCCCAUUUUCUUAUGGCAGCAUGCCGAGCAGUGUGUGUGUCCUCCCAGGCACUCCCUUCAUAGUCACCCUCUAACCACGUGACAUUCUGUUCAGUGCUAGUCCGUAUUCACAGGCCUAACGUAGGUUUGUAUGGUGAUCUACGAGAUUUUACACAUAUUUUUGUAUUGUGAUUCCUAUGAUAUAUACCAGAGAAUUUUUACUCAUUUGUAAAUUAUUGUACAGUUUUAAUAAAAAAUGUUUUAAAUCUUA